AACGCAUAUUGCGCCCUCUGGUAUUCCGGGGGGCAUGCCUGUUCGAGCGUCAUUACAACCCUCAAGCUCUGCUUGGUAUUGGGUGUCACUGCUAGAGUACACCUUAAAAUCAGUGGCGGUACCACCUGGGCUUCUAGUAUAGUAAUGAUUCUUACUAUGGAGCCUUUGGUAGUUGCUAGCCAGCAACCACAUUUUCAAUGGUUGACCUCGGAUCAGGUAGGGAUACCCGCUGAACUUAA
Molecule: unclassified non-coding RNA, 239 nt
Filed under: uncultured fungus
Lineage: Eukaryota; Fungi
Description: sequence contains ITS2
Rfam family: 5.8S ribosomal RNA (bases 1-52)
Source: RNAcentral